UACGAAGGGGGCUAGCGUUGUUCGGAAUUACUGGGCGUAAAGCGCACGUAGGCGGACUGCCAAGUCAGGGGUGAAAUCCCGGGGCUCAACCUCGGAACUGCCUCUGAUACUGUCAGUCUAGAGUCCGGAAGAGGUGGGUGGAAUUCCUAGUGUAGAGGUGAAAUUCGCAGAUAUUAGGAAGAACACCGGUGGCGAAGGCGGCCCACUGGUCCGGAACUGACGCUGAGGUGCGAAAGCGUGGGGAGCAAACAGG
Molecule: ribosomal RNA, 253 nt
Filed under: uncultured bacterium
Lineage: Bacteria
Description: partial 16S ribosomal RNA
Rfam family: Bacterial small subunit ribosomal RNA
Source: RNAcentral